GACGAACGCUGGCGGCGUGCUUAACACAUGCAAGUCGAACGGAAAGGCCCUGCUUUUGUGGGGUGCUUGAGUGGCGAACGGGUGAGUAACCCGUGCGUAACCUGCCCUUGACUUUGGGAUAACUUCAGGUAACUGGGGCUAAUACCGGAUCGGAGCUCCUGCUGCAUGGUGGGGGUUGGAAAGUUUCGGCGGUUGGGGAUGGACGCGCGGCUUAUCAGCUUGUUGGUGGGGUAUUGGCUUACCAAGGCUUUGACGGGUAGCCGGCCUGAGAGGGGGACCGGCCACAUUGGGACUGAGAUACGGACCAGACGCCUACGGGAGGCAGAAGUGGGGAAUAUGGCACAAUGGGCGGAAGCCUGAUGCAGCAACGCCGCGUGCGGGAUGACGGCCUUCGGGUUGUAAACCGCUUUCGCCUGUGACGAAGCGUGAGUGACGGUAAUGGGUAAAGAAGCACCGGCUAACUACGUG
This 468-nucleotide ribosomal RNA is filed under the name uncultured bacterium. RNAcentral describes it as "partial 16S ribosomal RNA". It matches the Rfam family "Bacterial small subunit ribosomal RNA", at positions 28 to 507 of the family's 1533-position model. The record is from RNAcentral.